GAUGAACGCUAGCUACAGGCUUAACACAUGCAAGUCGAGGGGCAGCAUGGUCUUAGCUUGCUAAGGCCGAUGGCGACCGGCGCACGGGUGAGUAACACGUAUCCAACCUGCCGUCUACUCUUGGACAGCCUUCUGAAAGGAAGAUUAAUACAAGAUGGCAUCAUGAGUCCACAUGUUCACAUGAUUAAAGGUAUUCCGGUAGACGAUGGGGAUGCGUUCCAUUAGAUAGUAGGCGGGGUAACGGCCCACCUAGUCUUCGAUGGAUAGGGGUUCUGAGAGGAAGGUCCCCCACAUUGGAACUGAGACACGGUCCAAACUCCUACGGGAGGCAGCAGUGAGGAAUAUUGGUCAAUGGGCGAGAGCCUGAACCAGCCAAGUAGCGUGAAGGAUGACUGCCCUAUGGGUUGUAAACUUCUUUUAUAAAGGAAUAAAGUCGGGUAUGGAUACCCGUUUGCAUGUACUUUAUGAAUAAGGAUCGGCUAACUCCGUGCCAGCAGCCGCGGUAAUACGGAGGAUCCGAGCGUUAUCCGGAUUUAUUGGGUUUAAAGGGAGCGUAGAUGGAUGUUUAAGUCAGUUGUGAAAGUUUGCGGCUCAACCGUAAAAUUGCAGUUGAUACUGGAUAUCUUGAGUGCAGUUGAGGCAGGCGGAAUUCGUGGUGUAGCGGUGAAAUGCUUAGAUAUCACGAAGAACUCCGAUUGCGAAGGCAGCCUGCUAAGCUGCAACUGACAUUGAGGCUCGAAAGUGUGGGUAUCAAACAGGAUUAGAUACCCUGGUAGUCCACACGGUAAACGAUGAAUACUCGCUGUUUGCGAUAUACAGCAAGCGGCCAAGCGAAAGCGUUAAGUAUUCCACCUGGGGAGUACGCCGGCAACGGUGAAACUCAAAGGAAUUGACGGGGGCCCGCACAAGCGGAGGAACAUGUGGUUUAAUUCGAUGAUACGCGAGGAACCUUACCCGGGCUUAAAUUGCAGAUGAAUUACGGUGAAAGCCGUAAGCCGCAAGGCAUCUGUGAAGGUGCUGCAUGGUUGUCGUCAGCUCGUGCCGUGAGGUGUCGGCUUAAGUGCCAUAACGAGCGCAACCCUUGUUGUCAGUUACUAACAGGUUCCGCUGAGGACUCUGACAAGACUGCCAUCGUAAGAUGUGAGGAAGGUGGGGAUGACGUCAAAUCAGCACGGCCCUUACGUCCGGGGCUACACACGUGUUACAAUGGGGGGUACAGAGGGCCGCUACCACGCGAGUGGAUGCCAAUCCCAAAAACCUCUCUCAGUUCGGACUGGAGUCUGCAACCCGACUCCACGAAGCUGGAUUCGCUAGUGAUCGCGCAUCAGCCACGGCGCGGUGAAUACGUUCCCGGGCCU
RNAcentral lists this ribosomal RNA (1358 nucleotides) under uncultured bacterium. Its description in RNAcentral is "bacterial SSU rRNA". It matches the Rfam family "Bacterial small subunit ribosomal RNA", at positions 28 to 1381 of the family's 1533-position model. The record is from RNAcentral.